UCUAAACGUUGGCUUUAUACACAACUCCUGGGAUAGUAGGAAUCUGUCCUUUACUUUAUAUGAGGAAUGCUGGAUCUGAACAGAGAUGAAAUAGUGCUCAUACUUGAGACUGUAUAAAAUUAGUUACAUCUUGUAUGCCAGGGUGUGUGUGUGUGUGCAUACUUACAUCAGCAUGUGGUUGAAUGGUUGCUUUAUGGAAUUCAGUGUGUUUAUGACAAUUCCACUUUGUAAAUGUAUUCAGCAUAUUCUGAACAAAGGUGAGAUGGUGGGGUCGAUUUGGAGAUGCUACUAGUAAUUCCCUUUCACCCAGACAGGGAUGAUCAAUUAUCAAGCAAAAAGCCUUGAAGCAGCACCACUGUGCUUUGCUUGAAGGCAGCGUUCUUUGUCUAAAGGCUGGAAUGCAGCUGUUGAUUCAUGCCUCCCCCUUUCCCCCUUCCCCCAUGUUGCUUUUCUGGCUUCUGCCCAAAUUCUCCUGCAUUUCUUUCUUGCAAAGGGGAGUGAGGCGGCCCCAUUGGCCUGAGCAAGACUGGGAUAUUAAGGAAAGGGUGGGGGUGGGCUGCAGACCAGGACUGGGAGGCAUUACCUGUGUUAGAGAGGAAACCUGAUCCGAGAUCAAAGGAGAAUAAGGGCGAUGGGAGAUUUCUCAGUAGAACCAGUGUGGGGUAUGUGUGGGGGAGAGGUAGGAGGAGGGUUUUAUAGUUUGUAUUUGGAAUUGGUUUCAGAGGGAAGAAACAGCAAAAUCUUUUAUUGAAUAUUCCUUGCCUUAUGCAAUUCAUGGGGUCAGCAUAAGGCAACAGACCACUCAAAAGCCCAUACACACACAGGCCCAUUCACUGAAAGGGACAAUCGAAUCCAGAGUCCCACAGCAAGUCUGGAAGACCAAUUCUUUGCUCAUGCCCUCUAGAAGAUGUGUAUUCAAACUCACUUAAUAGGGAUUCGUUUUGGAUUGCUGCCUGAUUUAACAGGCUUUGCUACUGUGCCACAAGAAUUAAACAAAUUGAGCUUUCCCCCAGCUUGGAAGACCAACCCUUCACCGAAUGUCCUUGGUGGGCGUUUCUGAGGGUGCAUCUACACCAGGCCUGGGCCAACUUGCGCUCUCCCUCCAGGUAUUUUGGAUUUCAACUCCCACCAUUGCUAACAGCCUCAGGCCCCUUCCUUUUUUCCCUAAGCCACUUAAGCUUGAAGCUGGCCUUGAAGCUGGCAAGGCCAUUAAGGCUGAUCAAGGUGAUUAAUUACAACAUUCACACUGGCCUCCAACAGAGUUCUUUCUCCCACACUGGACCUUCCAGAGAUAUAUAAACCUCCCUUGCUUAGGUGGGGACGAGAGAAAGGGCCUUCUCUGUGGUGGCCCCCCGGCUCUGGAACUCGCUCCCCAGGGAAAUCAGGCAAGCCCCCACCCUGGCAGCAUUCAGAAAGAGCUUGAAAACCUGGCUCUUUACUCAGGCCUUUAGAUAAAGAUUGCUCAUCCCCAUAGCAAUCUGUAUCUGUGACAAUUCUUGUACUGGUUUGCACUUUUUACCUUUGUCAACUUGAUAUAGGCACAGGGUCUAUUCCCAUCCCAAUUUGCACUUCCAAGAAUUUGCAGCACUUUAUCAGUCACCUCGUGUUUACAAUAUUUAUAUGGUGCACCUUACCCAGUCUACUUUUACAACCUCCCCGUUUUAAUCCAUGUUUUUAUUAGUUCUUGUCAUUUGUUUUUAUUGGCUAAUGUUUAAAUUUUUAUAAUUGUGCAUGUUUUUUGUCUACUGUUGUGUUUUAUAUUGCUAUUGUUUUUAUUUGGGCUUGGCCCCAUGUAAGCCGCCCUGAGUCCCCUUUGGGGAGAUAGAGGCGGGGUAUAAAAAUAAAGUUAUUAUUAUUAUAUUAUUAUAUACCUCAUAACCUCUGAGGAUGCCUGCCACAAAUGUGGGCGAAACGUCAGGAGAGAAUGCUUCUAGAACAUGGCCAUACAGCACCGAAAACUCACAGCAACCCAGAACCCAUGCCGUUGGUAUUACUGUAUAUAUUAUUCGCGAGGUUUUAAGCACUGGCGAGGCAUUCCCCCUCCUCUCCCCUCUCGGGGGUGGGAUGGGGUUGGUUUUUCCACCGCCCACGACCCGAGAGGGGCCUGGAAGGCGCCUGGGCGCGGGAGGAAGGGAAGAAGGCGGCUGCAGCGGGGCCUCCGGGCCUUUCCCUCCCUCCCUUCCUUCCCGCACCAGUCCCUUUGUCUGAAGAUCCCUCCCUUUGUCCAAGGCGACGAGCGGGGAGCCGCGCGCUAAGCCCAGCCAGAGCUGGGAGGGGAGGGGCGGGGGCGCUGCAGAGGGAGCACCACCCGCCCACUCAGGGCCACGCUCCCUGCGCGCCCUGGCCCUUUAAGAGGGAGCCCUCUCCGCUCGCCCCCUCCCUCCGCUUCCCCUCGCGAUCUAUUUUGGCCCGCUUUCCUUCCCGCCUUCCCGUUCCGCCUCUGGAGCCAGGAAAUUCCCCGCUUCCGCCCGAGCCAGGCAGGCGGAGGCCUGUGCGUCGCCGCAGAGGAAUGCGGGCCCAAGCCCCGGCCUGCCCUCGCCCUGCCCCCCUUCGCCUCCCGGCGACGCCCUGACCUACAUUUCCCGCUCCUCCAAACCCCUUCGCAGGCAAGAAGGCGUGCAUGUCCUCUGCGUCGCGCCAUUGCCACCUUGGCUCAACAAAUCUGGCAUUUUAACCUGUAUCAGCCGGAGAAUAGCAUCCUUUUCCUAUCGCCCUGCCCUGAUUCUGCCUGCUAAGGUCAAAGGGGAGGGAGGCGGGCAGCGCUUGCAGCCCAUGCCGCCCGGCUGAGGUCCAGGCCCCGUGAAGGUGGCGCCGGGCGAGGCGGAAGAACAACACCCCUGCGGGAUUCUGGCCAUCCGGUGUUUGUCUUAAAUUGCUUGGCCUGGCAAUACUAUGGAACUUUUUUCUACGUAGUCUGUGGACAGAAGCAACAGCUGGUAUCCCGAUGGGGGGCCUAAACCUUCUCUAAAUGAUACAGUUUCCGGGAGCUGAGAUUUAUCUGAGUCAUUGACAGAGAAAACAGAGGUUGCCUGAUUGUUGACUGCUGUGUUUGUUUGGUUUUUUCGAAAUCCAUAAGAACUUGUUGGGAUGGAACGAAGGUUGCAAGAUGAACUUUGGAUAUGCUCUGAGGGAAACCAGGCAGCAACUGUCCCAAGUACCAACCAGUGUCCCGUCUUCUUCAGUCUUACGAGUUAGUAUUUUUGACCCCCUUGCCUUUUAAAACUUCAUAAGCAUUGUGGACCCUGCUCACCUCAUGUUUACUGCUGUCGUUUAUUAGACGUUUGCCAAGCUCCCUGUUGCUCCAAGCUGGCUGGCAGCAUGCCCAGGCUGAGAAGUGCAAGAGCCGCCCUGCGAGAGACAAGGAAGAGUCGGCGCUUUCUCAGGGGCCCCUCCCUACGCCUGCACCCAUGAGUGUCUGGCAAGGGCACUCUAGUAGUGUGGGAAGGAGAAGGUGGAGACGGUUGGGUUGUCUUCAGGCAACAAGGGCAUGGCCUAAGAUGGAAGGAAACUAUGCAAAAUCAAAGCAUUUUCUCCCAUUCAAGGACAGUCGGUCAGAACAGCAAUAAAUUGAAUAGAAAACCCUAUCCAGUAGAAAGAAAUUCUGAAUAUUUAACUCCUUCAGAUGUUUCUGGAAGAUAUUCAAGUUCCUCCCAGAAGCUUUAAAAGUCCUGUUACUCUCAGUAGACAUUUUAGCGAUAUAGGGUUUCUUUUAUUCCAUAAUUUUUAAAGCAAUUUAAAUUAUUGAGACAAAGAGACAUCCACAACUUCUACUUUCUUCUUGCCCCUUAUCCAUUCUUUGGAGCCCCCAGUGGCACAGUGGGUUAAACCCUUGUGCUGGCAGGACUGAUGACUUGAAGGUUGGGUUGCUAGCCAGGUUGUCAGUUCGAAUCCAACCCGGGGAGAGCGCGGAUGAGCUCCUCUAUCAGCUCCAGCUCCAUGCAGGGACAUGAGAAAAGCCUCCCACAAGGAUGGUAAAAACAUCCGGGCAUGCCCUGGGCAACAUCCUUGCAGACGGCCAAUUCUCUCACGCCAGAAACUACUUGCAAUUUCUGAAGUUGCUCCUGACACACGCAAAAAAUCAAUUACUUUUAAAAAGUUAAAAAGGCCUACCAGCAAGACAGCCAAGGUUAGAAUCCCAGCUUCCAUUAGACAAUGAUUUUUUAAAAUUAUCUUCCAGCGGCUUCUGUCUUCUCAAAAGAUGAAGAUGGAAGUGUGAUUGAAUUGUGUCUUCUCUCUCCAUCUAGCUCUGUAUUUUGCUAUUCAUAGCUGGAGACAUCAUUCAACUUCUGCGGGUUAGAGUAAGAUUAACUAGUGGGACACAAAUCCUGGCCAUUCGAAGAAGGGAUUGUUCCCUCACUGUUGUCCCUGUUUUGAUGUGGAGUUCCUUGGAAGUGGAGUACUGUGCUGAGCUGUCUAAGGGGUUGUGCGUAGGUUUGGACGUAAGACAUUGAAUAUCAGCAUUUUCAUUUUAUGAUGAAAAUUAAAACCACAUUAAUAGUUUGCUGCACACCGAGCCUGCUCAAAAAAUGAGUAAUGGUUAAGGAUAGAUAAACAAUUAAAGUGCAUAAAUUACAACUUGUGCAAUCAUUGUAUAAAGCAUUACAGAUGUGAGAGAAAACUGUCCAUGUAUAAAAUGUAACACUUGUCUGUUUGCUUCAUGCAGUGUGUGUGUGUGUGUAAUCUGUUAUUCAUUCAGUACAUUAUGGUGGAAAAGUAAUGGAAAGAUAAUUGCUUUCAUUUGCUGUUUUCAAAAUCUAAGUUGUUCAGUGUGUGUAAGUUUAGCUGUGUAUGUAUAUCAUUAAUAAUUUUAAAUACAAAACAUGGAUUUAAAGGGGAUACGUGACUAGUAGGAAGUUUAGAGUCUGGAAAGUGUGUGGGCUUCAAGCCCUUUCUUAAUAUUACCCCACUAGAUUUUGUCCCCAAGGGACACAGGAUAGCAGAAACAUAACACCAGCAGGAGUCCUAGCUUCUAGCAUAACCUGCUCUAGCUGUGCGUUUAUGCAGCCUGUCUACCAAGCAGUUUCCCAUGGGUGCUCAUUAUUCCAAGGUGUGGCCAUAAUUGCUUGGGCUGGAGCAUUUUAAUGAGGAUGUCUGGCUGCUCCCUGCCUAUGAUACUAUUCAGUAGUAAUUCCACAUGCUGAGAACUGGAGUAAUUGUGGGAUUCUAGCCUGUUCUGACAACAUGGCAUGAGAAGAACAGCAAGGACACACCUACUCAGGUUGAAAGAGACUGGACAAAAGGAUAGCCACUCUCAAUAAAAAUCUUAAGCAACCCCUGUAACAUCCAGACUUGUAGGUAUAUCACAAAAAGCUAGGACCAAGACGCAGCUGAAGUACAGGAUACACUGGCUUCUCUGAGCAGAGAGGAGGAAUUACGCUUAAAGAUCAGGGAAUAAACAUAACAUUCCACACUCUGUUGACUUACAUGUAUCACUCAAAAUUGAUAAUGAAUUAAAGGACAACCACUGGUUUCAUUUACCAGUCCAAGGGUCUGGAGAAUGGGCAAGGGAUCUCAUCUAAACUAAAGCCCUUGCUUUUGAGCAAGAGAUCGAAUUAUAGGGUAGCAAUAUAAAACAACCAAGUUGUAUGUAUUUUCAAGGAUCAAUAGUCAAAACGCCUUUUUGGUGAAUGCCUUGCACAUUUCCCGUUUGUUUUGGUGGUGGGUGUGCUUUCAAUAAAUAGCCAAUCUGUGGAAACCCAAAGGUAAACCUG
Long non-coding RNA from Anolis carolinensis (green anole), 5711 nucleotides. RefSeq lists it as uncharacterized. NCBI's taxonomy places the organism in Eukaryota, Metazoa, Chordata, Lepidosauria, Squamata, Anolidae. The transcript is spliced from 2 exons. The record is from RefSeq and is a predicted model, not a curated record.